This is a non-coding RNA of Cyanistes caeruleus (blue tit), 7476 nucleotides long. NCBI's taxonomy places the organism in Eukaryota, Metazoa, Chordata, Aves, Passeriformes, Paridae. The record is from RefSeq and is a predicted model, not a curated record.
GCGCCGGGUCGGGAGCGGGGCCCGGUGGAGCGGCGGCCGCAGGGGAGAGGCUGGGGUUGUCAGGGGAAGGCCUGGAGUCCUCCAGGGACGGUUCGGUGUUCGCAGUGGACGGGCUGGGGUCCGCAGGACAGUUUUUGGCUCAGACCACAGCUACUUUCUCUUUUCCUGAGAUGAUAUAAGAGACAAGAGGCAAUAACAGCUCAAGUCUCUGCAGGACACAGUUUUGUAAUGGUCUUUAUGCAUGUGCAUUUACUUCCUCUAUAAAAACCUUGUCUACUAAAAAAAUACCUGUGUGACCCUGAGAAAGAAUUUUCCUCCAGCAAGAUUUGUCCUGCAUCUUCCAGCUUCUGUAAAAGACCCCUGCAUAGGAAGAUAAAUCACAGCAGUCCCAGCAGCAGUAGAGCUGCAGUCGGCAGAACAAAUCACAGUGGAUUUCUUGAGGUAAAUCUGCAAAUAAAAGAGAGCUGUGCUCUUGUUUCCUUCUAGGCAUUUACAAAACUCAAUAGCACAAAUAUAAGCAUCUAAUAUUUGAAACAGAAAAUCACUCAGCUGAUGGAGGGAUCAGGAGCUAAUGAAGCAGGAAAGCUACUAAGUGAAAAUGAAUAGAGCUUCACUGGCAUUUGAUUUAUAAUUUCACCCAACAGAGGUUAUUACAAAGAUACUUCAUAAGAGAUCUCUGCUUAGGGGGUAUGCAGUUUCAGGAAGAGAUUUGGUUUUGAUAUUUUCAGUCCAGAGGAGUAUUUUUAUUACCUGAAAGUUAAAAAAUACAUAGGAUCAGUGUCUUUGCCAACAUCUUGCUCAAAAAAGCAAGCAAUCAAACUUGCUCCAAAUCCUGUACAGGUCUUGAUAACAUAAAGCGCUUUGAUGGUAAUUUCUUCUCCAAAUUAUGAAUGUAUUUCACAAAGAUUAAAAGCAACAUUUCCCAAAGCUUAUCUGAAGGUAAAUAAUCAGGGAGCCAGCUAGAUGGGAAUACAGAGACUUCAAAGAAGGUGAAUUGGUACACUUUUAUUACACAUUUACUUGUGCUUGGGUAUCCAGUCUGUAAUUAGGAUGACAUUAUAUAAGAAGCAUAGAGGCAGAUUAAUUGUUUUUCAUAUCUGUUGACCGAAUGGUGAUCAAAGGUGUGAUGCACAUGCUAGGUUAAAAAAUUCUUUUAUGUUUUUUUUGUUGCUUUUUGUUGGGUUUUUUUUGUUUGUUUAGUUUGUUUCUUGAUGUUUUCUUUGUUUGGUUUUGGUUUGGUUUUGUUUUUCCUAAAUGACAGAGCAUUCUGGGUAAAGGAAAGUUGAGGGUUUGGGGUUCAUUUUCCCCUCAUAACUGAUAAUUCACCAGAAACAGUGUUUUGUAGAAACAAGUUUAUAGCUUUCUCAAGUCAGGUCCACCAACCAGUUUGGAGUCCUGGAGCUGUGGCUGGGCAGUUCACUUCUCUCGUCUUGAGAUGAAAUGAAUGUCUAGCAACAGCUCUCUUUGCCACCCUAGAAGAAAUACAACAAUAUCUCACCUAUGCUUUGUUCUCCAUUUUUCUACUUGCCAAAAGAAAAAAAGAAAGGCCAAGCAUAGGAAAAUUUGGUGGAGAAUGCUUUAUGUACUGAGUCACAGACACCAGUGCAAGUAUUUUAGCUGUUUGGAGGCUACACACUCAGGCAGUAACAGUGUAGGUCAACCAGAAUGAAAUUAUUUUUUGCCAGAAGAUGAAACCUUAGAAAGGUAAAGUUUGUGUCAUAAUUUAAGAUUUUUUUCCUCCUAUAAUUAGGAUUUUUUUUCAGGAAUGAUACAAGUUUUGAUGAUAGUUAUCCAAGGUAAAAACAUACAGACUAGGCAGCUGUUCCAGGAAAACCUUGUGAUGGCAGAGGAAAUGCACAUACCCACCCCGAAACAUUCACAUUUCAACACACCCCUAUGUGCUCCAGAUAUUAAAACUAUCAAAAUAUUGUAAAACCUUUUGUGUUUUGAGAAAUCCAAAUUUGUACACUAUGGUUAAGGGGAUACCUUUCAAACAUAGUUAUAAAUUAUUAUAUUUUGCAACAGUUUUCUACUGUUGGAAAAAAAAAAUACAUUAUAUCCACACCUGACAAAAAAAGGCUGGCUACGUUUCUAAGGAGAAGGGUGCUGAGAAGUCUGCCCUCUGACACAGCGGUAACUGCAACCACAAUAGAAUUCUUCCCAGGCCAGCACGUGAAAUAAGUGAGCAUUUAAAUGUAAUUUCUAAUGCACACUUUUCAGCAGAUGAAAACCAUUAUGCAGGCUAGCAUGACUGCUAAUCUUUUCCAAGCCUAGGGAAGCAGUGAGCAUAAAUCAUCCAUAAAAUGCUUUGGCAUAAGUUUGCAAGACAACUAAAAGACUAUGUGUAAUUUCAGCUUCAACUAACAUCCUUGUCUUCUCUCCUUAAUGCACUACAAAAUAAAAAUUGUAAGAUAACAUUUAGAGUACAAUCACUUCUUAAAAUUUAAUUUAGAAAUGGGAGAAACAUUGAUUUUAGAAUUUUACAAAUUAAAAUAAUAUUUUACCUAUGUUUAUAACUCAAUGUGGAUCUUUUUAGACCUGUUUUAAAACAUUUCAUGCAGCAAAAUGGUUGUAACAUAGAAUUUCAAAGACAAAUUCAAUGCCUAAGCGGUUUUGCAGGGCUAAAUACUAUGAAUUUAUUAUUUUAAUUAAAUUUUUUAUCUCAUUAUUCCAAACACACUUAAAUUUGAGUGCUAUGCAUAUAUAGUACACUUGAUAAAUUUUUGACAUCCCUUUUUUAAGCACAGCAGAUAUCCUUCAUAAACUGUGUAUGUUGCAUUAGAUAUCUAAUCUGAUAAGAGUUUAAUUACUUAGAUAAGGGCAAUUCUCUCCUUGCUUACAACUGUGUAACACUAAAGUGGUUUUAUGUGUUAUUAUAGUCUUUAAAUGCUAAUUUCAAAAUCUUUUUCCUCAGCACAGCCGUUGACUUGGGAAAUACAGUAACAUGGGUAGCCUAUGUACCUAACCCUAAAUCUAAACCCUAAUGCUAAUCCUAGAAACUCUCCUAGCAAUAGAGCUUCUACUCUAUUAUAAAUAUUAAGUGGGGGCUGAGCAAGAUUUUCAAACAUCAGUUCUGGACCAAAUUUAAUGAUUUUUUUGUGAAAUAGAUAGGUCCAGAAAUCUAGCAUAUUAAUUGGAAACAUUCCCCACGUGUAAUGUUAGACAAAAUACAUGAAUGAGUCUCUUCUACGCUCUCCUAGUUUCCAUCAGAAAUAUGUGACAGGAGCAUGCCAAGCUUUUAUAUCAGGGUGCAUUUGUGUAAGUGCUCAUCUAGCUGUGGCUGCUCUGAGUCUUGCCCUGGGUAGCAUUUUCUUUUGAUAGAAUAAAUUAAACUUUAAAUAAUGCAGAUCUAUGUGUAAACCAAAUAUUUGAAAUGUCUUUGUCCCUUGCUCAAGAGAGUCAGGUUAGCCUGCAGAAGUUGCUUAUUUCCUUAAUGUAUCAUAUGCCUGAAUCUUGAUAAAAAGAAAAGUAAAGGUAGGAUAGAUAAAAGCACAUGCUACUUUACAUGGGACUAAAAACUUUUUCUUUAAUCUUCUUUCAAUCCACUAUUUUUAUGCUUUAACACAAUAGAAUUAUAAGGAGAAAGACCACAUCCACACACUAAAUAAGAGAAAUCAAAUGCAUAGGAUUCUUCCACACAGAGUGGCAAAGUGCUGACUGACAUAACAUUCCUUUUGCACAGCUAACUGUAUCACAGACAGCAAGUAAGAAACAUAUGGAUUUUCAUGAAACUGAAAUUUCAUGAAACUGACUGAACUUCAUCUAGAAUGGCAAGCCUUAAAGUAAAUAGACAAAGACAAAUUAAACAGAAGAAAAAAUAUGUUCCUUUGGCAGAAAAUCAAAUUUAUGAAAAAGCCAAGAACAGCUUGAGAGCCAAUUUCAUGCUAAUAAGCAAAUGCUAUUGAAGUAUGAAGUUUUAUAAAAGAUUUUCAGAGAGGUACUUCAUAUAUCUCACUGGAUUUGGAAAGUAAUUAUUAUUUAUCCCCACUUCAGAGACAAUGCAAAUGAAGUCACAAAACUGCUUGUCCCCAGGACAUAUUGGAUAACAAUAGUGUUGUUUAAUCCUUUCUCUUCAAGGUUGCCAUAUACUACCCUUAAGUAUGCUCUAGCUUGCAAAGUUCUGGUCAGAACAAAGAUAUUUUUUCUCCUGGGCAUUUUUGAAAAUUUGGUAAGUUUCUGUACUGAAUUCUCUGUUUUUAUUAAAGGCAAUUCAUGUCAGGAGUCUAUCACCAUACCAGCUACUCCACUCAGCUGUAAACCAGUGGUAUAUGUGGUAUAUGAGAAUUAUGAUCCUGAUACAUACUCAGUGCAUUUUAUUGACUAUUCUGUAAAUCAUAUGCAUUUCAGGAGCAAAUUAGGACACAAGAGCAAUCUGGGAACCUCUAUCUGAGGUAGUAACCUGCUUUCCCAGGAGCACUGGAGUUUGAAGGAGAUGAUGAGAUCAUCACUAAGUAAAUCACUGAGUAAAUUCAGCCUGUCCAUUCCUUCCUUUGACCAUGUCUCCUCUUGAGAAAGAAUGCAACUUGGCUUCUGUUUUACCCAGGACAGGUAUGUUUGAAAAUUUGGUUAUUUCAUGAAGGAACAGUUGGUAAGUUUCUGGCAGUUGCAUCACUUAAACUCAUUCUUCCUUCCCUUUCCCCAUCAAUUUUAGUACAAAAGGGGAAGUGUUUUCUAAUGUGUUCUUCAUCUUUUCCCCUGGCCUGAACGUUGAUCUCCUGUUGAGACAUAACUGCUACAUUCCUCUUCUGCAAUGCUAACGGAAGAAUUACUCAACUAGAAGCUCUCUGGAAAAAUUCCAAAGGUGCUGUGAGGUAAGGUCUCAUGCUCUGAAGCCACAAAAUGGAUUGCACAGGAAAAAAACUGAAACAUAAUUUCGUCUCAUGCAGUUCUUGAUUAAUUGCAGUCUAGCUUACUAUUGCACUAGUGACAUCCUUAAGGGCUCUUGACUUAGAAAUACAGCAGAUGGCAAGAAGAUGCUCACCUUCUCUGUACAAUCAGUUAAAAACAUAACAUGUUUCUUCUAUAAGGACUCCUUUUCAAACAGUGAAAAAUAAUUUAUAGCAAUUUGUCAAUCCUUUCUGAGCUCCUGCUCUAUGUCUUUCAGCAGCUGCAAAUUGCUGCCACUCAAAUUAUUUCCUUCCUUUUUCAUACCAAGAUUGCAACAGGCUAGGUGAUCAAAAAACAGAAAUACUUCUGGGCCAAUAUCAUAGCCUCAGAGUAGGCAUUUGACUCUUAAACAUUGUUUUGUGUAAUGCAGAGACAUCCAUCUUAAUUGCUAUGGUUUUUUGCUGGGAAAGCAUUUUGAAGUUCAGAAUAAACUUUCCAGGGAAUCAAAACUGGUUCUAGGAGCUAGUUAAUUUUUUUUUUUUUACUGAAAUGUAAGAAUAUUUAUUAUGCUUUAAUUCCAGCUGAGAACUGAGCCUCAGGCAACCACUUGCUCACUCCCUCACAAUUGGGGAAAGAAUGAGAAAAAUAAAAGUAAAAAAAACUCAUGGGUUGAGAUAAAGACAGAUUAAGAGGUAAACCAAAAGCUACACAAGCAAAUAAAGGAAAGCAAUGAAUUAAUUCCCCUGUUCCCAGGGGCAGGCAGGUCUUCAGCUAUCCCAAAGAAGGCAAGGCACCAUCAUGGGUAACAAUGAUUUGGGAAGACAAAUGCCAUCACUCCAAAUGGUUCCCUUUUACUUCAUCUUCCUCCAGAUUCAUGUACUGAGCAUGACUCCAUAAGGUCUGGGAUAUCUUCAUGGUCAGUGUCAGCUGUACUGGCUGUUUUUCUAUCAAUUCCUUGUGCACCCCCAGCCUGCUCACUGGUGGGGUGGGGUGAGAAGCAGAAAUGGUCUUCACACUGUGCAAGUGUUGCUCAACAGUAACUAAAACAUCUCUGUGUUAUCAGCACUGGUUUUAGUACAAAUCUAAAACAGAAUCCUACACUAGGCGCAGUGAAGAAAUUCAACUCCACAAGUAUCUAAACCAGCUCAAUAUUUAAAGUCCUAAGUCCUGUUAUAUUAAAUAGCUCUUUACUACACACAGUAUAGAAAAAGAUGGUGCAUCUAGCAGGAACAAGCUUUCACAAGAAUAAUGGGAAUUGUAAGAAAUGCUAGAAUUACAAUGUUUUUCUAUAUUCACUGUGAUAUUGUCUUUAUUGAGAUGAUCAGUUCUACUUACGCACAUGAUAAAAUGUUGGAAAGUAGCAAAGUUGUUUAUUUAGAGAAGUGGGAACACAGGCACUUAUAUGGAUCUUUCUUUUCUUUGAAGAGUGGGAGAGCUCUUAGUACCAUGAACAGCAGAAUAACCUGAGUUGGAAGGGACUUCCAACUGAGGAGCAUGGAACUUCUGACUUCACACAGAGGAAACUAAAAUUUAAACUGUUGUCCAGUGUAGGGUUAGGAGGUUGACUUGGGGACAUGACUAUUUUCCUAGGAAUAUUGUUCAACUGCUUGACCAAUCCUUCAGUAAAGAGCCUAUUCCUAAUCCACAAUCUGAACUUCCCCUGCUGCAGUUUUAAAUCAUUGCCAUGGGUUCUUUCACUGGACACCAGAGAAGAGAUCAGCAGCUCCCUUCCAUUUACGCAGAAGGUUGUAUUGGUUUGGCAUGGCCUGGUUUUAGUAGCAGAGGGGACACGAAGACGGCUUCUGUGAGAAGCUGCCAGGAGUUUCCACCAUGUCUGGCAGAGGCAAUCCCUGAUGGCUCUGAAGGUGGACAUGCUGCUGGCCAAAGCUGGGCCAGUGAGAAAGACUGGUAUCGCCUCUGUGGCAAUCUAUUUAAGAAGAAAAUCAAAACAAAUUCAGGUGGGCUUUUCUUCCAGUCAGAGAAAAGGAGGAGGUAAGAAUACGUAAGAGAAACAAGGUGGAGACACCGCGGUGAGUGGAGAAGCAGGGGCAGGAGGUGCUCCAGGCGCCGGAGCCGAGGUUCCCCUGCAGGCCGCGCUGAUGACCGCGGUGAAGCAGCCGUGCCCCGCAGCCCAUGGGGAUCCCCGGGGAACGCAGAGAUCCACCCGCAGCCCCUGGGGGAGGUGCCCACGCCGGAGCGGUGGGUGCCCGGAGGAGGCCGUGAUGCAGUGGGAGAGGCGGAGGAGAGCGAGGGCCCUGCUUGCAGGCCGGAGCGGCCUGUCCUUGGAGGAUGCGGCCCGUGGAGGAGAGAGCCCCGCUGCAGCAGUUUGGGGAGCGCUGUGCGGCCCUGGGGGCAGCUCCCGCUGCAGCAGCUGCGCUUUGGCUGCUGCUCUGAGAGCGGCCCCACGCCAGGGAAGUUCCCGGAGAGCUGUUCCCUCCGGCAGGGACCCCUCGGCCUCACGGGGGAAGGACUCCUCUCCCGGGGCAGUAGAAAAAAAUCUCAGUGGUGAGCUGACCCCAUGCCUGGUCUCCCUGCGUUGUCCAUGGGAAGGAUAGAGAGGUUGGGAGGAAAAUGGUGGUUUAAGGGCUUAUUUUACGUCUCGUUAUCCUCCUCUGCUUCUGCUAGUAAUAAAUUCGCUUUGCAACUUAA